Molecule: transfer RNA, 77 nt
Filed under: Helicobacteraceae bacterium
Lineage: Bacteria; Pseudomonadati; Campylobacterota; Epsilonproteobacteria; Campylobacterales; Helicobacteraceae
Description: tRNA-Arg
Rfam family: tRNA
About the family: Transfer RNA (tRNA) molecules are approximately 80 nucleotides in length.
Source: RNAcentral
GUCCUCAUAGCUCAGCAGGAUAGAGCAUACGAUUCCUAAUCGUAAGGUCAUUGGUUCGAAUCCAAUUGGGGACACCA